This 501-nucleotide ribosomal RNA is filed under the name uncultured bacterium. RNAcentral's name for it is "partial 16S ribosomal RNA". It matches the Rfam family "Bacterial small subunit ribosomal RNA", at positions 30 to 523 of the family's 1533-position model. The record is from RNAcentral.
AUUGAACGCUGGCGGCAGGCUUAACACAUGCAAGCCGAGCGGAGAUGAGGUGAUUGCAGCUUAUCUUAGCGGCGGACGGGCGAGUCAUGCUUAGGAAUCGGCCUAUUAGUGGGGGACAACAUUCCGAAAGGAAUGGGAAUACCCCAUCCGUCGUACGGGAGAACGCAGGGGAUCUUCGGACCUUGCGCUUAUAGAUGAGCUCUAGUCGGAUUAGCUAGUUGGUGGGGUAAAGGCCUACAAAGGCGACGAUCUGUAGCGGGUGUGAGAGGAUGAUCCGCCACACUGGGACUGAGACACGGCCCAGACUCCUACGGGAGGCAGCAGUGGGGAAUAUUGGACAAUGGGGGGAACCCUGAUCCAGCCAUGCCGCGUGUGUGAAGAAGGCCUUAUGGUUGUAAAGCACUUUAAGCGAGGAGGAGGCUACUGAGACUAAUACUCUUGGAUAGUGGACGUUACUCGCAGAAUAAGCACCGGCUAACUCUGUGCCAGCAGCCGCCGUAA